Molecule: ribosomal RNA, 253 nt
Filed under: uncultured bacterium
Lineage: Bacteria
Description: partial 16S ribosomal RNA
Rfam family: Bacterial small subunit ribosomal RNA
Source: RNAcentral
UACGGAGGGGGCUAGCGUUGUUCGGAAUUACUGGGCGUAAAGCGCACGUAGGCGGCUUUGUAAGUUAGAGGUGAAAGCCCGGGGCUCAACUCCGGAAUUGCCUUUAAGACUGCAUCGCUAGAAUUGUGGAGAGGUAAGUGGAAUUCCGAGUGUAGAGGCGAAAUUCGUAGAUAUUCGGAAGAACACCAGUGGCGAAGGCGACUUACUGGACACAUACUGACGCUGAGGUGCGAAAGCGUGGGGAGCAAACAGG